Molecule: unclassified non-coding RNA, 218 nt
Filed under: uncultured Tomentella
Lineage: Eukaryota; Fungi; Basidiomycota; Agaricomycetes; Thelephorales; Thelephoraceae
Description: sequence contains ITS2
Source: RNAcentral
ACACCUCAACUCUCAUGGCUUGCCAUGAUGAGCUUGGACUAUGGGGGUCUUGCUGGCCUGUGGUCAGCUCCUCUCAAAUGAAUCAGCUUGCCAGUGUUUGGUGGCGAUCACAGGUGUGAUAACUAUCUACGCUUGUGGUUUUCCACCAGGUAACCUUCAGCGAUGGAGGUUCACUGGGGCUUAUAAACAUCUCUCCUCGGUGAGGACAGAUUUUGACU